Panthera uncia (snow leopard) is the source of this 1609-nucleotide long non-coding RNA. RefSeq lists it as uncharacterized. NCBI's taxonomy places the organism in Eukaryota, Metazoa, Chordata, Mammalia, Carnivora, Felidae. The record is from RefSeq and is a predicted model, not a curated record. The transcript is spliced from 3 exons.
GGGAGGGGAGAGGAGAGGAGAGGAGAGGGAAGAAGACGAGGCAGAGGAGGGCAGGGAGGAGCGGAGAGAAGAGAGGAGAGGAAGGAGGGAAGAAGAGAGGAGCCGCGGAGAGGAGCCGAGCGGAGAGGGAGCGGGCGGCCCGGCGAGAGCUCUUUUGCGCCGCUGCGCUUCCCCGGCUGCAAUGGUGUAUUAUUUCAGAGCGCUCCCUCAGCUGAGGGCUCCGCUCCACAACAAGAUUUACUUUAAGACACAGCUGAAGGAAACAGGAAGACUGCACGUCACAGUCUGACUGACGUACCCGGCCCCAGCACCCAAUCGCGAGGCGCCUUCGGAUUCAAGGGGGGAUAGCGAGGCAAGAGAACUUGGGAGGAAAAAAAAAAUAUAAAAGGGGUGGGGGGUGAGGGGCUGGGAGGAGAGGAGGGGAGAGGGGCCCCGCGCUCCCCCUCCCCCGCCUCCAUCCCCGGCCCCCACCCCCGCCCCCGCCCUGCCCACCGCUUCGGGGCGACUGGAUCGCCGCGCCGGGGCCGGAGCGAGCCAUCUGCGGGCACUGUGCAAAGCGGGCGACGGUGCGAGCGGCGCUCGGCUCACACUCGCUCGUCCUGGACGCAGAUGGCAAACCUUUCCUACAGAAGCUGCCCAUCAGACCAGUGAAACCCGCAGGACGAAAAGUUCUAUUCAAGAAGGGAACAACAAGGAGGAAAAAAAGGUCAACAUUCCCAGGACAGAAGAGCUCCUUGGCAUCGGAACCCUCCUGGUCCAGUGAGGGAGGGAUGCGGGUCGCUCGUGUAUGAGGAUACACAGCCAUCAUCCAAAACUUCCCAGUUCAGGUGGAAGGAAGAGGUUGGACCAGAACUUGGGAUCCGAGUUGCCCAAAGGAUGGUUCGGACGGUGUGAGUGAGUCACAGAAGGUAAGCUAUGCUCAAGAACUUUCAAAAGUUAUUUUUCCAGUUUGUCCAUUCUUAUCUCCAUGGAGGACAAAUAGGUUCGUUACGCUUUUAUUCCAACUCCUCUGCGUCUUGCAAUUGCUAGUUGUGCGAUCCUGUAAUUUAGUAACUCUGUGCUUCAGUUUCUGCAAAAAAAGAAAAAUUAGGAUGAUAAUAAUAAAUAACUCAUCUCUUAGGAUUGUUGUGAAGAUUCCAUGAGUUAAUCCGCAUAAAGGUUUCUGAACCGCGUCUGGCAUAUAGCAAGUGUUCAAGAAAUGUUGAUAAUUAUUGUUGAUACGAUUCAUUUCUAUGGAAGUUUGCAUUUUUGCCUUUAUUUUCUGAUGAUUGUCCUGUCCAGUUCCCAUGGCCAUUAUGCUAAUUCUUUGGGUUGGUUUUAUGGAAAUAGACUGGUAACAGAGUGGUUAAGCUAUUGGCUUUGCCGUCGAACAGAAUCAAGUUGAAGUUCUUGAAGUAACAAUCAAUAGCUGUAUCUCCUCAAGAAGUGACUUAAUUUCUCCAGGCCUCAGUUUCUUCAUCUAUAAAAUAAGGAUGACAAUAAUCAUACCUGCUUCAUAACGUGACAGUGGUUGAACAUUAUCUGGCAAAGAUGUAAAAGCAUGUUGGUAUUGUUAUUAUUUUUGCUGCCCCAAAUAUACCGAAUAGCUCACUUAUAGUCAAAAGUGCCU